GGCGGUGUAGUGCAGUGGUUUAGCAUCUCCUCCCCCCAUCCAGAGGCUGGAUAACGGUGCUAUCUGGGGAAGAGGAUGACCUUGGUUCGAAUCCGAGCUCCGCCA
Molecule: transfer RNA, 105 nt
Filed under: Capronia epimyces CBS 606.96
Lineage: Eukaryota; Fungi; Ascomycota; Eurotiomycetes; Chaetothyriales; Herpotrichiellaceae
Rfam family: tRNA
About the family: Transfer RNA (tRNA) molecules are approximately 80 nucleotides in length. Their secondary structure includes four short double-helical elements and three loops (D, anti-codon, and T loops).
Source: Rfam by way of RNAcentral